This 507-nucleotide ribosomal RNA is filed under the name Darwinhydrus solidus. RNAcentral's name for it is "partial 16S ribosomal RNA". It matches the Rfam family "Bacterial large subunit ribosomal RNA", at positions 1830 to 2597 of the family's 2925-position model. Lineage: Eukaryota; Metazoa; Arthropoda; Insecta; Coleoptera; Dytiscidae. The record is from RNAcentral.
GUCCUUUAGAUGAAUAAUUUAAGGUCUAAUCUGCCCACUGAUUAAUUAAAUGGCCGCAGUAAUUUGACUGUGCAAAGGUAGCAUAAUCAUUAGUUUUUUAAUUAAAAGCUUGUAUGAAUGAUUGGACGAGAUAAAAUCUGUCUCUUAAUUAAUAUUAGAAUUUAAUUUUUAAGUUAAAAAGCUUAAAUUUUUAUAAAAGACGAGAAGACCCUAUAGAUCUUUAUUAAUUUUUUUUUUAAUUUAUAUAAUGAUUAUUUUAUUUAUUAUAAAAUUGUUAAUUUUAUUGGGGUAAUAAAAAGAUUAAAAAAAUUCUUUUUUAUUUAAACAAUGAUAAUUGAUUAUAUGAUCCAUAUAUAAUGAUUAUAAGAUUAAGUUACCUUAGGGAUAACAGCGUAAUUUUUUUAAAGAGUUCAUAUCGAUAAAAAAGUUUGCGACCUCGAUGUUGGAUUAAAAAUUAUCCUAGGUGCAGAAGUUUGGGAUUUUGGUCUGUUCGACCAUUAAAUUUUU